This 76-nucleotide ribosomal RNA is filed under the name Mactra antiquata. Its description in RNAcentral is "partial 5.8S ribosomal RNA". The record is from RNAcentral. Lineage: Eukaryota; Metazoa; Mollusca; Bivalvia; Venerida; Mactridae.
CACUGAACAUCGACAUCUUGAACGCAUAUUGCGGCCUCGGCUCAAUGCCGAAGCCCCGCCUGUCCGAGGGUAGGCU